UUCCGGCGCGUUUUGUGCCGUUCCGUAUCGGCCAUCUCUGGACGAAUCGUUCUUUCCGCACUUGGCAGCCGUACAAGCCGAUCGAAGCUUACAGGGCCGUGCCGCCUUAGCAAUAGCAGCGACAGAAUCAGCAUACCUGCUAUCAACACGAACCGCUGCCACGUCAAAUUUUUCGUAACGGAAAACGCCGCAGCAGCCAGAUCAAACGCCCGACAGCACCAGUAGCGCAGAACUACAACGACUCACACUACCUCAGUCAAAAUCGUCAUGCCUGAAGAAAAGAAAUACGCGCACACCAAUGGGUUCGCCAACGGACACGGAAACGGAGGACUUCCGCCAGAGAGCCCGGACGGUGAGAUGUUCCUGUUCACUUCCGAAUCCGUUGGAGAAGGACACCCAGACAAAAUGUGUGAUCAGAUCAGUGAUGCUAUUUUAGACGCACAUCUGGAACAAGAUCCCGACGCAAAAGUGGCUUGCGAAACUGUUACCAAAACUGGAAUGGUUUUACUCUGUGGAGAAAUAACAUCCAAAGCCAAUGUUGAUUAUCAAAGAGUAGUUCGAGACACAAUUAAACAUAUAGGCUACGAUGAUUCAUCAAAAGGGCCUCAUGUUUGGCUAUGCUACAGAUGAAACAGAAGAAUGUAUGCCUUUAACAGUGGUACUUGCUCACAAGCUUAAUGAAAAAGUAGCCGAACUCCGAAGAAAUGGAGUACUUUGGUGGGCACGCCCUGACACUAAAACACAGGUAACAUGUGAAUACUGUUUGGUUGGCGGUGCUUGCAUUCCACAAAGAGUUCAUACAGUUGUAAUAUCUGUGCAACAUUCUGAAAAGAUUUCCCUAGAAGACUUACGGCAAGAAGUUAUGUCUAAAGUUGUUAAGACAGUGAUCCCUUCUCAGUAUCUUGAUGACAGAACCGUUUUCCACAUCAAUCCAUGCGGCCAAUUCGUAAUGGGUGGUCCUCAAUGCGAUGCUGGCUUGACGGGACGAAAAAUUAUUGUUGAUACUUAUGGUGGUUGGGGAGCUCACGGAGGUGGUGCAUUCUCUGGCAAAGACUUCACUAAAGUUGACAGAUCCGCCGCAUAUGCUGCUCGUUGGGUUGCUAAGUCUUUAGUAAAAUCUGGGCUUUGCAAACGUUGCCUUGUACAAGUAUCUUAUGCUAUUGGAGUAGCUGAGCCAAUAUCAAUUACACUUUUCCACUAUGGCACGUCUACUAAAACUCAAAAAGAAUUGUUGAAAAUUGUAAACAGUAAUUUUGAUUUAAGACCAGGAAGAAUAGUAAGGGAUUUAAAUCUACGAAACCCAAUCUACCAAAAGACAAGCACAUAUGGACAUUUUGGUCGUGACAUAUUUCCUUGGGAAAAACCAAAGGUUUUGGUCGAGUGAUAAAUGGCGGACUUCUUACACACUGUGUAUGAUUCAAAACAAAUGCGUAGAAUUUUUUAUUAUGAUUUUUUUUUUAACAUUAACGAAUCAAAUGUUGCCACCUGUUCAUAGUGUUAAGAUACACUAUUAAAAAUAUUAGUAUUUGCAUAGUUUUCCCUUAUUUUAAACAAAUUAUAAUUAUUUUUUUUUUGUAAAAUUUGAUUUCUUAAAAAGAAAAAAAAAUUAUUAUUGUAAUUAAUAAGUCAGUGUUACGCCAUGUAAAUAAGAAGUCUAAACAUUACCAGGCACUUAAUUAUUUACCUUUUUGGUCUGUUAAACAAUAUUUGAACAUAGUUGCUUUUUAAUCUUGAUCAAUCACUAUUUGUUAGUGUAUGUCAAUAAAAGCUAAAUACCAAUUUAAUUACUAUUAUCUCAUCAUAUUCCAUGAAAAUAUGUGUACAUAUAUUUUGUAUGUGUACAUGAAUAUUAAGAUAUAUUUUACCUUUUUUUAUUUAAAUAUUUUUUUUUUAGUGAUUUAUUAUUGGCCGCAUCUAUUACCUUUUUUUUUUAUUUAAGUUUGGCACAAUCUUAGGACAUAAAUUUAGCAUACCGACUUCAUUGUUCAUGAAUUAAUUUUAUGUUACUUCUAUGUUCACUUGAUUUAAAUUUAAAUAUUUAUAUUGAAACAAUUAUGGUUUUUUUUUUUUAUAUAUAAUUUUUAAUGUUUUAUCAACAUUUUGUGAAUUUAUUAGUUUUUUUUUUGUCAUACAUGUAUUUUAUCCGCCUUAUUUUCGUUUGUUAUAAUGAUAUGAUUAUUGGCUCAUAAUAAAAUGUGUUGCUGCCCUCCAAA
RNAcentral lists this unclassified non-coding RNA (2213 nucleotides) under Acyrthosiphon pisum (pea aphid). RNAcentral describes it as "s-adenosylmethionine synthase, transcript variant X2". Lineage: Eukaryota; Metazoa; Arthropoda; Insecta; Hemiptera; Aphididae. The record is from RNAcentral.